AGAGUUUGAUCAUGGCUCAGAAUCAACGCUGGCGGCGUGCCUAACACAUGCAAGUCGAACGCGAAAGGGGCUUCGGCCCUGAGUAGAGUGGCGAACGGGUGAGUAACACGUGGGUGACCUACCUUCGAAUGGGGGAUAACGUCCCGAAAGGGACGCUAAUACCGCAUAACAUCCUGCCUUUGAACAGGUGGAGAUCAAAGCUGGGGAUCGCAAGACCUGGCGUUUGAAGAGGGGCCCGCGUCCGAUUAGCUAGUUGGUGAGGUAAUGGCUCACCAAGGCAACGAUCGGUAGCCGGCCUGAGAGGGCGGACGGCCACACUGGGACUGAGACACGGCCCAGACUCCUACGGGAGGCAGCAGUGGGGAAUUGUUCGCAAUGGGCGCAAGCCUGACGACGCAACGCCGCGUGGAGGAUGAAGGUCUUCGGAUUGUAAACUCCUGUUGCCCGGGACGAAAUGCUUCGACCUAACACGUCGAAGUUUGACGGUACCGGGUGAGGAAGCCCCGGCUAACUCUGUGCCAGCAGCCGCGGUAAUUC
Molecule: ribosomal RNA, 537 nt
Filed under: uncultured bacterium
Lineage: Bacteria
Description: bacterial SSU rRNA
Rfam family: Bacterial small subunit ribosomal RNA
Source: RNAcentral